CAGGAGUGGGGCUGUCAGAGUCACUGAAAGUGAAGCACAAUUCAACAUAAAUAAGCAGCCUUGAGAACCAUCAGCAGAAUAUUAAAUCAAAAUACUGAUUUAUUCUGUAUUAACUGCCCUGUGGUUUCAGCUCCAGCCAAGAAAGGCCUCUGAACUCUCUGUGUGCAGAGAUUUUGCCUUUGGUGGGUAUUAUAAUAAUGGAAUCAUGGAAUGAUUUGGGUUGAAAAGGACCUAAAAGCCCAUCUCAUUCUACACCUGCCAUGGGCAGGACACCCUUCACUGUCCCGGGCAGGACAAGCUGGCCUCGGGCACCUCCCGGGCUGGGGCAGCCUGUGCCAGCCUGCCAGCACUGUCCCAGGGAGGAAUUUCUUCCUCACUUCUUCCAGUGUAAAACUAUUGUCUUGUCCUAUCGCUAUCUGCCUGUGUAAAAAGUCACUCUCCAUCCUUUCACCAGCCGCCUUUAGGCCCUGAAGGGGCUGUGGGCUUUCCCUGGAGCUUUCUCUUCUCCCGGUGAAGGCCCCCAGCGCUCCCAGCCCGGCUGCAGAGCGGGGAGCUCCAGUCCCCGGAGCAUCUCCGGGACUCCCUUCGCACCAGCAGCUCCAAAACCAACCCCCACCGGCUCGGGCCGUUCCCGAGCGGCACGGGAGCUGUUCUCUGCCGGUCCCGAGCCCCACAGCGCCGGGCUCCGCUGCCGGCACUUCUCCUCCCGUUCCCCAGCUCCGCUCCCGGCGCUUCCCGGAGGAUCCCGGGCGCCGCUGCAGUCCCGGCUCCCGCCGCACGAGGGCGCUGUCCCCGGCGGGCCGUGCCCUGCUCGGCGCUCCGGCCCGCGGCUGCUCUCGGUGCUUUCCCGGGCCCGCUCCCGGUCCCCGCUUCCGCUCCCCGCUUCUGGCCGCGUGGCGCUGAGAGAGGCUCGGGGACAUGGCGGGCACGGGGUGAUUUCCUGCGGGGGCUCAGCCCCAGAGAAGCCACAGCUCCAGAUGGUGACAUGGAUGAGACUCGGUGCUUCCAUUCCUGAGGUGAGGGCGCACCAGGUGAGUCGUGGGAGCUCCGGGUGCUCCUCCUGGGCAGGGGUACGGGGUCUGUGGGCUGGGGAACGGCUGCUGGGUGCUGCCAGCCAGCCUCACCCGCGCCCAAGAGCAGCUCCCAGGUGGGCUCCGUGCUGGGCCUCACCUGUGCAGUAACAGGUGUGAACAUUCAUGAAGCAUUUUGAUGGUCAUGUAUGAUACUGCAUACAACAGCUGCACCACUAAUCCAAGGAAAAACAGGGUUGGGGUUUUUUAACGUAUGCAUGUCUUUUGAAAAUAUCUUGCAAAAUCAAACUGGUGCUCUUUCAGGUAUGGAAAUGAGAACCUGGGUGCUUGAUUUAUCACUAGAUACUGUUUGAGUUGCAACUUUGUUCCCCACGUAGUAGGGAAUAGUGAUAAAGUGGUUUCUGCACUUGAGCAGAUGGAAAGCUUUGCUGGAAGUUGUGUACUUUGCUCUCUUGUUACAUAUUUGGUUUCUCUCCUGCAGCAGGGGGUUCACCUGGGGGCAGACUCUGCCCUGGCAAGUGUGGGAAGGGAGGGGGGAAGGCCGGUGCUGGGAACCACAGGGUGGCACCACAGUGAUCUUGGCUCCUGGCAAAAAUCCCUGGCCAAAAUAACAAGUCCUUUACCCGUUUGUUAUUGCUGUGGGAUGGGUGAUCUGGCUCUGGUGUGCUUUUGGAAGUGCUUGUGGUAGAGAUGCUUUUGGGAAGGAUUUUAGGGAGAGCUGGGGUGGGAUGGUGCUUCAGUUAACACUGAUCAAGAGGAGAUGGGUCUGUGUAGGACAGGGGCUCUGGCUUCAGCUGCAUUCCUGGCUGAACAUCCUGGUUAUUUAUUUUCAGGUGGCUGGACUGAGAGGUGAUUCUGCAGGAUGGUGAGAGCUGCUCUUGCAGUUUGGUUAUACCUGUGUGGUCUUUUUGGGUUAUCACAGAAUCAUAGAAGGGUUUGAGCUGGAAAGGACCAUAAAGACCAUCUCCUUCCACCCCCUGCCAUGGGCAGGGACACCUCCCACUAGCCCAGGUUGCCCCAAGCCCUGUCCAGCCUGGCCUUGAACAUGUCCAUAGGGUAGCCACAGCUUGUCUGGGCAACCUCUGCUAGGGCCUCCCCACCGUCAUUAAUUCCCUAAUACCCCACCUAACCCCUCCCUGUGCCUGUUGAAACCAUUCCCCCUUGUCCUGGCACUCCAUGCUCUUGUAAAGUCCCCCUCCAGUUUUCCUGUAGGUUAUAGAAAGCAGUUGUGCCUAAAUGGAUGGUGAACAUGAAUAAAAUCCAUUUUUCAAAGUUGACUUGCUUUUUU
This is a long non-coding RNA of Parus major (Great Tit), 2319 nucleotides long. The record is from Ensembl. NCBI's taxonomy places the organism in Eukaryota, Metazoa, Chordata, Aves, Passeriformes, Paridae.